GCCCUUAGUUUGAUCCUGGCUCAGAUUGAACGCUGGCGGCAUGCCUAACACAUGCAAGUCGAACGGCAGCAUGGUUUGUAGCAAUACAGACUGAUGGCGAGUGGCGGACGGGUGAGUAAUCCGUAGGGAUUUGCCUUAAAGAGGGGGACAACCCGGGGAAACUCGGGCUAAUACCGCAUACAACUCUGAGGAGGAAAGGUUUGGUGAAAGCCAGACGCUUUAAGAUGAACCUACGGCCGAUUAGCUAGUUGGUGGAGUAAAGGUUUACCAAGGCGACGAUCGGUAGCUGUUCUGAGAGGAAGAUCAGCCACACUGGGACUGAGACUCGGCCCAUACUCCUACGGGAGGCAGCAGUGGGGAAUUUUGGACAAUGGGGGCAACCCUGAUCCAGCGAUGCCGCGUGUGUGAAGAAGGCCUUCGGGUUGU
This 426-nucleotide ribosomal RNA is filed under the name uncultured bacterium. RNAcentral's name for it is "bacterial SSU rRNA". It matches the Rfam family "Bacterial small subunit ribosomal RNA", at positions 1 to 426 of the family's 1533-position model. The record is from RNAcentral.